UUUAACUAAUUCAGGUG
RNAcentral lists this microRNA (17 nucleotides) under Corchorus olitorius. Its description in RNAcentral is "hsa-miR-12". The record is from RNAcentral. Lineage: Eukaryota; Viridiplantae; Streptophyta; Magnoliopsida; Malvales; Malvaceae.